ACCAUUGAAGAAAACCAGGACUCAGUUGA
This 29-nucleotide non-coding RNA is filed under the name Homo sapiens (human). Lineage: Eukaryota; Metazoa; Chordata; Mammalia; Primates; Hominidae. The record is from RNAcentral.